AGUCGAGGGGCAGCAUUUCAGUUUGCUUGCAAACUGGAGAUGGCGACCGGCGCACGGGUGAGUAACACGUAUCCAACCUGCCGAUAACUCGGGGAUAGCCUUUCGAAAGAAAGAUUAAUACCCGAUGGUAUAAUCAGACCGCAUGGUCUUAUUAUUAAAGAAUUUCGGUUAUCGAUGGGGAUGCGUUCCAUUAGGCAGUUGGUGAGGUAACGGCUCACCAAACCUUCGAUGGAUAGGGGUUCUGAGAGGAAGGUCCCCCACAUUGGAACUGAGACACGGUCCAAACUCCUACGGGAGGCAGCAGUGAGGAAUAUUGGUCAAUGGGCGCAGGCCUGAACCAGCCAAGUAGCGUGAAGGAUGACUGCCCUAUGGGUUGUAAACUUCUUUUAUAUGGGAAUAAAGUUUUCCACGUGUGGAAUUUUGUAUGUACCAUAUGAAUAAGGAUCGGCUAACUCCGUGCCAGCAGCCGCGGUAAUACGGAGGAUCCGAGCGUUAUCCGGAUUUAUUGGGUUUAAAGGGAGCGUAGGUGGACAGUUAAGUCAGUUGUGAAAGUUUGCGGCUCAACCGUAAAAUUGCAGUUGAUACUGGCUGUCUUGAGUACAGUAGAGGUGGGCGGAAUUCGUGGUGUAGCGGUGAAAUGCUUAGAUAUCACGAAGAACUCCGAUUGCGAAGGCAGCUCACUGGACUGCAACUGACACUGAUGCUCGAAAGUGUGGGUAUCAAACAGGAUUAGAUACCCUGGUAGUCCACACAGUAAACGAUGAAUACUCGCUGUUUGCGAUAUACAGUAAGCGGCCAAGCGAAAGCAUUAAGUAUUCCACCUGGGGAGUACGCCGGCAACGGUGAAACUCAAAGGAAUUGACGGGGGCCCGCACAAGCGGAGGAACAUGUGGUUUAAUUCGAUGAUACGCGAGGAACCUUACCCGGGCUUAAAUUGCAUUUGAAUAANUUGGAAACAGGNUAGCCGCAAGGCAAAUGUGAAGGUGCUGCAUGGUUGUCGUCAGCUCGUGCCGUGAGGUGUCGGCUUAAGUGCCAUAACGAGCGCAACCCUUAUCUUUAGUUACUAACAGGUCAUGCUGAGGACUCUAGAGAGACUGCCGUCGUAAGAUGUGAGGAAGGUGGGGAUGACGUCAAAUCAGCACGGCCCUUACGUCCGGGGCUACACACGUGUUACAAUGGGGGGUACAGAAGGCAGCUACCUGGUGACAGGAUGCUAAUCCCAAAAGCCUCUCUCAGUUCGGAUCGAAGUCUGCAACCCGACUUCGUGAAGCUGGAUUCGCUAGUAAUCGCGCAUCAGCCAUGGCGCGGUGAAUACGUUCCCGGGCCUUGUACACACCGCCCGUCAAGCCAUGAAAGCCGGGGGUACCUGAAGUACGUAACCGCAAGGAG
This 1389-nucleotide ribosomal RNA is filed under the name bacterium NLAE-zl-P917. RNAcentral's name for it is "16S ribosomal RNA". It matches the Rfam family "Bacterial small subunit ribosomal RNA". The record is from RNAcentral.